RNAcentral lists this ribosomal RNA (641 nucleotides) under Nonomuraea sp. I12A-02975. Its description in RNAcentral is "bacterial SSU rRNA". It matches the Rfam family "Bacterial small subunit ribosomal RNA", at positions 100 to 759 of the family's 1533-position model. The record is from RNAcentral. Lineage: Bacteria; Bacillati; Actinomycetota; Actinomycetes; Streptosporangiales; Streptosporangiaceae.
GAACGGGUGAGUAACACGUGAGUAACCUGCCCCUGACUCUGGGAUAAGCCCGGGAAACUGGGUCUAAUACCGGAUACGACCGCCUCCGGCAUCGGAUGGUGGUGGAAAGUUUUUCGGUCGGGGAUGGGCUCGCGGCCUAUCAGCUUGUUGGUGGGGUAGUGGCCUACCAAGGCGACGACGGGUAGCCGGCCUGAGAGGGCGACCGGCCACACUGGGACUGAGACACGGCCCAGACUCCUACGGGAGGCAGCAGUGGGGAAUAUUGCGCAAUGGGCGGAAGCCUGACGCAGCGACGCCGCGUGGGGGAUGACGGCCUUCGGGUUGUAAACCUCUUUCAGCAGGGACGAAGUUGACGUGUACCUGCAGAAGAAGCGCCGGCUAACUACGUGCCAGCAGCCGCGGUAAUACGUAGGGCGCAAGCGUUGUCCGGAAUUAUUGGGCGUAAAGAGCUCGUAGGUGGCUGGUCGCGUCUGCCGUGAAAGCCCGCAGCUUAACUGCGGGUCUGCGGUGGAUACGGGCCGGCUAGAGGUAGGUAGGGGCAAGUGGAAUUCCUGGUGUAGCGGUGAAAUGCGCAGAUAUCAGGAGGAACACCGGUGGCGAAGGCGGCUUGCUGGGCCUUACCUGACGCUGAGGAGCGAAAG